GGGCCCGUCGUCUAGUGGUUAGGAUGCCACCCUUACGAGGUGGUGGUCCCCGGUUCGAAUCCGGGCGGGCCCACCA
This 76-nucleotide transfer RNA is filed under the name Thermofilum sp. ex4484_15. RNAcentral describes it as "tRNA-Val". It matches the Rfam family "tRNA". From Rfam's summary of the family: Transfer RNA (tRNA) molecules are approximately 80 nucleotides in length. Their secondary structure includes four short double-helical elements and three loops (D, anti-codon, and T loops). Further hydrogen bonds mediate the characteristic L-shaped molecular structure. tRNAs have two regions of fundamental functional importance: the anti-codon, which is responsible for specific mRNA codon recognition, and the 3' end, to which the tRNAs corresponding amino acid is attached (by aminoacyl-tRNA synthetases). tRNAs cope with the degeneracy of the genetic code in two manners: having more than one tRNA (with a specific anti-codon) for a particular amino acid; and 'wobble' base-pairing, i.e. permitting non-standard base-pairing at the 3rd anti-codon position. Lineage: Archaea; Thermoproteati; Thermoproteota; Thermoprotei; Thermofilales; Thermofilaceae. The record is from RNAcentral.